RNAcentral lists this transfer RNA (65 nucleotides) under Nothopsyche ruficollis. RNAcentral describes it as "tRNA-Ala". The record is from RNAcentral. Lineage: Eukaryota; Metazoa; Arthropoda; Insecta; Trichoptera; Limnephilidae.
AGGACUAUAAUUUAUAAAAAAUAAUUAAUUUGCAUUUAAAAAAACCCCCACUUUGGGUUGUCUUA